UUUCCGUAGGUGAACCUGCGGAAGGAUCAUUAUUGUAUAACCGAGGUGCGAGGGCUGUCGCUGACCCGAAAGGUCGUGCACGCCCGAGUGCCCUCACACACAUCCAUCUCACCCCUAUGUGCACCACCGCGUGGGUCCCCCUUUGGCUUGUUCGGAGGGGGGCUUACGCUUUCACACAAACUUUGUAUGCAGUGUAGAAUGUACUUUUUGUUUUUGCGAUCACGCAAUCAAUACAACUUUCAACAACGGAUCUCUUGGCUCUC
This 263-nucleotide unclassified non-coding RNA is filed under the name plant metagenome. RNAcentral describes it as "partial contains small subunit ribosomal RNA, internal transcribed spacer 1, and 5.8S ribosomal RNA". The record is from RNAcentral.